Molecule: RNA transcript, 1170 nt
Organism: Patella vulgata (common limpet)
Lineage: Eukaryota; Metazoa; Mollusca; Gastropoda; Patellidae
Exons: 10
Source: RefSeq, a predicted model, not a curated record
UCUAUCAAAUAUUGUUUUUGUGACCUUCUUUCUACACCCUGGGAGUCACUGGACCGUUUGAUUAACAAGCGCCAUUUACAUCGGCUUUGUCUGAAAUUAUAUAUUUCAAUCUUUGCGUCAAAAUAUGUUACGUUUUAAAAGUACAAUGGAGACAUGUCAUGUUGAAUAGUGCAUGACGUUAACUCCAUUAAGAUAAAUAUAGUGAUUUUAUGCAAUAGUCGACUUCAUAUCCCUAUUUGAUAUGGGGCAAUCCAUGAGUUUCAGAAACACUUAAUCACUGUUGCCUCGAGGUUUAAUUAUCUAACGACUGAAUUAAGAAAGGCGAUCGGAUAUAAAUAUAUUUCUGUUGUAGUGUAUUCGGUUGAUAAACUUAUUAGCUGAAAAUGUCUGCGAGUCUUAGAAUAUGUCUAUGGAUUUCAAUUUUAUCGAGUGGAUAUGUUUCAGCAGAAGGUCAUCCGGAAGAUCUUAUAUUAUUUGCAUGUCAAUUCUUCGAAGCUACAACUCCAGUAACAACCCCAGCACCAUCCACAACGUUAGAAGCUACAACUCCAGUAACAACUCCAGCACCAUCCACAACUACAGAAGCUACAGCUCCAGAAACAACUAGAGCCCAAGACACAACCUCAACGACGCCAGAAACAUUAACAGAUGGUGCAUGCAAUCCAACAAAGUGUGAGUCAUAUGGAUACGGAAGAAAAUGUAUGGUAUUUACAUGCAUUACAGACGCGGAUGAUUGCGGGGAUAAUACCUGUGGCCGUGAUGACAUUUGUCGCAAGAAUCAGUGUACAACGUACGAUAAUAUUUUUAAUUCUGAAUCCUGUAACGAAACUAUUGGUUGUCUGCCCUAUCGCCAAGGUGAACCAUGUGGGUCCACAUAUUGUGUCGACCGCCAGUCAACUUGUGUGGAUGGCAUCUGUAGAGCAUAUUGUCGCUAUCCUGGUUUGUGUUAUUCAAAUGGCAUUAAGGGUAAUUGUAACACUGCAACACGCUUGUGUAUUGCUUCUUGUACUACUAACGCGGAUUGUUUUGAUAAUCCAUGUAUUGGUGGUGAAUGCUCUUUUCCAACAUGUGAUGACGAACCGAGAUGCCUUGAAGAUGGCUGACGAACAUAUCGCAUGGACAUGGAAAUAUUAAACAGAACUCAAAAUUAAACAGACUUUUCGUUUGUAA